Molecule: long non-coding RNA, 1806 nt
Filed under: Podarcis lilfordi (Lilford's wall lizard)
Lineage: Eukaryota; Metazoa; Chordata; Lepidosauria; Squamata; Lacertidae
Source: RNAcentral
CGUAAUGGAACCUGGUUUUGGUGAAGCACAGCAACCCAUAGAGAGGCCAAGACUGCGCGCUGCCUUUUGCGCGCUGCCUUCUUUCAGGAGAAUGAGGUCAACCCCCUUACCAGUGCACGGCGCAAAUGGGCAGGUGAGGUCAGGGGCUCUCUCCCAGGAGAGGAGGACUUGGGUGCUGGUGGUGAGGAUGACCGCGCGCGUGUGUGUGCAGGAUGUCGUCGAAAGCCUGGUGUGGACACCAGGAUUGGAGGUCUUCAGCUUGGACUGUGUCUCCUGACUCUGGGGGAACGUGGAAGAUUGGGAGAAGGUCCGACGAAACGCGCACGGGAUCGGUUGCGUGUUGUUCAUAAGCCCCAAAUGAGACCCAAGGAACAGAUGUGUUGCGUGUUGGGUGGGGCAGCGUGGGAGCAGAGGGCUGGACAAAGGGCACGAAUGAUCGCCUGGAGAAAUGCAUGUAGUUUCAUACAAAAGCGGUUUUUAAUAUUUCCCUUCAAUAUGGGAAGCCGGGGAGCAUUCUAUUUAAUAAUAAUAAACAACCCAACGUGGGUCCCGUCCCCCCGCAAUGUCACGAGUCUGGAAUUUAAAAUUCCCUUCCCACACAGUGGAGAGAAAGAAAAAAACCUUAAUUAUAUAUAGAGGGUAGUAGUCGUAGUACUAGGUGUGGGGUGUCGCAAUAAUGCCUUUUAUUCGACGCCUGGCGUGCCACCUGUUAACUCAGUAACGUCUCAGCCUUCACCGCGCCUGUUGCGUUUUCCAGUCCGAAGCAACUUUAAGUGGUCUUUAGCGAUUAGAUCAGGAUUGCUUUAUUAUUAUUAUUAUUAUUAUUAUUAUUAUUAUUAUUAUUAUUAUUAUUAUUAUUAUGCCACAUCCCUCCAGGGCAUGGCGGUCUCUCCCUCUGCGCAUUUUGAUGGAUAAAGAGACAAGUGGCGCUGAUGGGAAGCUCUUUAAUCCCUGUGAAAGCAGGUAUUUGCAGUUUAUGUCCCAGAAAGGUAAGCUUACAUGGUCCAGGAGGAGCAGUUUAUUCCUCAUGUAAUUGUGAAUUAAGGAACGGUGAUCAAGGAAGAGGCACAAAUUCAUCAGGAAACCCCACCACCCCAAGUUGACAGACCGUGUGUGUGUGUGGGGGGGGGGGAGACUGAGAGACUUUAUGGUUUAGAAUAUUACAUAGCCCAGAAUAUUUUCCAGAAUUUCCCGGGUCCUCGCUACAAAGCUGUAGCGGAGCCGAAGAAAGGUCUCGUUUCUAGAGUUAAAUACUUGGUGGGCUGCAUGUGUCUUGGUGCUUAAAAUGCAGCUAUUUUUGCGUGUCUUUAGUUAUGUUCAGCUCUUUCUGCGUACCUUUAGCCGCUCUUGUGGAAAAAAGAAAAAGGGUAAAUCCAUUUUGGCUGGCUGGGAGAUCACCCUGAAAACCUGGCGUGUACCCCCCUCCCCCCUUCCCCAAAUGAAUCAAAGACAACCAGGCAAUACUGGCCUCUGCCUUCAGCGUCACGUCGAGGCACGCAAGAAUGGUAACCCAGCAGCAGGAAGAGGCCCAUUGGAACCUGGAAGAUCGCGAAGGUUGCGCAGAGGAACGGCUGGAGAGGUCGCACGUCGAGGCCAAGCCUCCUAGGCCUGCGCACCACCAGCCUUGGCAGGUUUGCUCAGAAAUCCGUCCCCCUCAGUCCAAAUGGGGCUUCCUUUUAGAUAAGAGGUCACAGGAGCUCUCUCCUUCCUUGUCCUGUCCUCCUGGAUUGCACCGCAACCGUGGUCCCUCACCCCCACCGCCCUUGUUUCUUUGCCGCAAACUUUUCGAAGGACGAGGAAGAAGCC